Molecule: unclassified non-coding RNA, 332 nt
Filed under: soil metagenome
Description: partial contains 5.8S ribosomal RNA, internal transcribed spacer 2, and large subunit ribosomal RNA
Rfam family: 5.8S ribosomal RNA (bases 1-120)
Source: RNAcentral
GAUGAAGAACGCAGCAAAAUGCGAUAAGUAAUGUGAAUUGCAGAAUUCAGUGAAUCAUCGAAUCUUUGAACGCACAUUGCGCCCGCCAGUAUUCUGGCGGGCAUGCCUGUUCGAGCGUCAUUUCAACCCUCAAGCACAGCUUGGUGUUGGGACUCGCGUUAAUUCGCGUUCCUCAAAUUGAUUGGCGGUCACGUCGAGCUUCCAUAGCGUAGUAGUAAAACCCUCGUUACUGGUAAUCGUCGCGGCCACGCCGUAAAACCCCAACUUCUGAAUGUUGACCUCGGAUCAGGUAGGAAUACCCGCUGAACUUAAGCAUAUCAAUAAGCGGAGGA